AGAAGGUGGACAAGAAUGUCUGUCAUGCACUUCAGUGGAGAGUGCUAAUAACUGCAACCAUCGAAUCCAAUGUGAUGAUAACGAGUUAUGCUACAUGCAUCACUAUGUAACGGAAUCCGGAUCCUCUGGGUUUGAUUUUGGAUGUGCCUCUCAGCAGGUUUGUUCACAAACGGUCGGUACAAUAUUUGGACGUCGAUCUGAAGGUCACCAUGCAAAGUGUACAUUAUGUUGUGAUGACUCCAAGAUUUGUAACGAAGAUUUAAACUGUACCAGUACAA
Long non-coding RNA from Mytilus trossulus (common blue mussel), 278 nucleotides. RefSeq lists it as uncharacterized. The transcript is spliced from 3 exons. The record is from RefSeq and is a predicted model, not a curated record. Lineage: Eukaryota; Metazoa; Mollusca; Bivalvia; Mytilida; Mytilidae.